RNAcentral lists this ribosomal RNA (273 nucleotides) under uncultured bacterium. RNAcentral describes it as "partial 16S ribosomal RNA". It matches the Rfam family "Bacterial small subunit ribosomal RNA", at positions 524 to 796 of the family's 1533-position model. The record is from RNAcentral.
UACGGAGGGUGCAAGCGUUGCUCGGAAUUACUGGGCGUAAAGCGCACGCAGGCGGCGUGCCAAGUCGAACGUGAAAUCCCUGGGCUCAACCCAGGAACUGCGCUCGAAACUGGCAUGCUUGAGUCCGGGAGAGGAUGGUGGAAUUCCUGGUGUAGAGGUGAAAUUCGUUGAUAUCAGGAGGAACACCGGCGGCGAAGGCGGCCAUCUGGCCCGGAACUGACGCUCAUGUGCGAAAGCGUGGGGAGCAAACAGGAUUAGAAACCCCCGUAGUCC